ACAACAGACGGAAACGACUGCUAAUACCGAAUAAGUUCCAAGAGCCGCAUGGCCCAUGGAAGAGAAGGUGGCCUCUACCUGUAAGCUAUCGCCUGAAGAGGGGUUUGCGUCUGAUCAGCUGGUUGGAGGGGUAACGGCCCACCAAGGCGACGAUCAGUAGCCGGUCUGAGAGGAUGAACGGCCACACUGGAACUGAGACACGGUCCAGACUCCUACGGGAGGCAGCAGUGGGGAAUCUUCCGCAAUGGGCGAAAGCCUGACGGAGCAACGCCGCGUGAGUGAUGACGGCCUUCGGGUUGUAAAACUCUGUGAUCCGGGACGAAAAGGCAGAGUGCGAAGAACAAACUGCAUUGACGGUACCGGAAAAGCAAGCCACGGCUAACUACGUGCCAGCAGCCGCGGUAAUACGUAGGUGGCAAGCGUUGUCCGGAAUUAUUGGGCGUAAAGCGCGCGCAGGCGGCUUCCCAAGUCCCUCUUAAAAGUGCGGGGCUUAACCCCGUGAUGGGAAGGAAACUGGGAAGCUGGAGUAUCGGAGAGGAAAGUGGAAUUCCUAGUGUAGCGGUGAAAUGCGUAGAGAUUAGGAAGAACACC
Molecule: ribosomal RNA, 591 nt
Filed under: uncultured Peptococcaceae bacterium
Lineage: Bacteria; Bacillati; Bacillota; Clostridia; Eubacteriales; Peptococcaceae
Description: bacterial SSU rRNA
Rfam family: Bacterial small subunit ribosomal RNA
Source: RNAcentral